AAACUUUACAAUGCUGGCAACAGCGAUAAGGGAACCUCGAGUGCCAGGUUACAAAUCUGGCUGUCGAGAUGCCUAAAAAGCAUUUCAUAGCAAGGGCCGGGCAAGACCGGUGCCAGCCGCCGCGGUAACACCGGCGGCUCGAGUGGUAACCGUUAUUAUUGGGUCUAAAGGGUCUGUAGCCGGCCGGAUAAGUCUCUUGAGAAAUCUGGCAGCUUAACUGUCAGGCUUUCAGGAGAUACUGUCUGGCUCGAGGCCGGGAGAGGUGAGAGGUACUUCAGGGGUAGGGGUGAAAUCUUGUAAUCCUUGAAGGACCACCAGUGGCGAAGGCGUCUCACCAGAACGGACCUGACGGCAAGGGACGAAAGCUAGGGGCACGAACCGGA
Molecule: ribosomal RNA, 383 nt
Filed under: uncultured archaeon
Lineage: Archaea
Description: bacterial SSU rRNA
Rfam family: Archaeal small subunit ribosomal RNA
Source: RNAcentral